GUUUCCGUAGGUGAACCUGCGGAAGGAUCAUUACCGAGUGCGGGAACCCAGUCGGGUCCCAAUCUCCCACCCGUGUCUACCACACCUAGUGUUGCUUUGGCGGGCCCACUCCUCCGGUGUUCCGCCGGGGGGGUCGUCCCGGGGCGCGGUGUGCCCCCGGGGCCCGUGCCCGCCAGAGGCACUCACUGUGAACGCUUUUGUGAAUGCGAGGAUUGUCUGAGUGACGAAAUGCAAUCGUUCAAAACUUUCAACAAUGGAUCUCUUGGUUCCGGCAUCGAUGAAGAACGCAGCGAAAUGCGAUAAGUAAUGUGAAUUGCAGAAUUCCGUGAAUCAUCGAAUCUUUGAACGCACAUUGCGCCCUCUGGUAUUCCGGGGGGCAUGCCUGUCCGAGCGUCAUUGCGAACCCUCAAGCACGGCUUGUGUGUUGGGCCGCCGUCCCCUCGUUUGGAGGGGACGGGCCUGAAAGGCAGCGGCGGCGUCGCGUCCGGUCCUCGAGCGUAUGGGGCUCUGUCACGCGCUCAAGGAGGGGUCCGGCCGGGGCCAUAGCCUCUGAAGGUCAAUUCUUCCAAGGUUGACCUCGGAUCAGGUAGGAGUACCCGCUGAACUUAAGCAUAUCAAUAAGC
RNAcentral lists this ribosomal RNA (623 nucleotides) under Thermomyces lanuginosus. RNAcentral describes it as "eukaryotic LSU rRNA". The stretch from base 243 to 396 matches the Rfam family "5.8S ribosomal RNA". Lineage: Eukaryota; Fungi; Ascomycota; Eurotiomycetes; Eurotiales; Trichocomaceae. The record is from RNAcentral.